Long non-coding RNA from Spinacia oleracea (spinach), 768 nucleotides. RefSeq lists it as uncharacterized. The record is from RefSeq and is a predicted model, not a curated record. The transcript has 3 exons. Lineage: Eukaryota; Viridiplantae; Streptophyta; Magnoliopsida; Caryophyllales; Amaranthaceae.
ACGUGAAAGUCAAAAGGAUAUAUAUAAAAGUAUAAAUUCAAAGUGUGUAAAUAAAUAUUAAAUGAACUAAAAGUUAAGGAUUAUAGUUGUAUGCGUGUAUAUAUAUAUCGGGAUCUGGUGAGAACCACCCCUUAAGAUGAGAACUGUGAACCAAUCUCAGCUGUAGAUCAAAUAAAUCCAACAGCCCACAAUCUACCCGACCAACCCAAAACAUUAAGGGUAAUUUGGUGAUUUUGCAGCGCUGAAUGACCUCCUCUCUCAACCCAAUUUUCAGAAUUUGUUUCUCUCUCCUGUUAGAAAUCAUCGCUCCGCAAUUUUCACCUUGUUCAAGGAAGCCAUCUAGCUGGAAAACAGAAUAGGUUGCUAAAUUGGGUUCUCAUUUGCAUAUAGUAGCACUGCAACUUUGGAGGUUUCAUUCCCUUGAGGAGUUUGCUGAAGUUAAGAGAAGUUGGAGAAAACUCUUGGAUGGACACAAUCGACGUAAGAGGAAGAGACAACUCGAAAUCUGUUACAUGCCUGAUUCUGCUGGUGGCUUUUUGUCAUCUCAUACAGGCCAUUUGACAAAUUCUCAGCUAAAUUUCUUUGCAUAUUGAUAGAACGUUUUUCCGUCGUUGAAAGAUCAACGCCACAAUCAAACAAAAUUUAUAGAACCGCUAGACUAACCAACUAUAUGAACUAUAGUGGCAAGUAAAGGGAUCGUCCCAAAGAAACGAUGGUUCUUGAGUUUAAAUGUCAAGCUAAUUCGAACAAGAGGUUUGAUUUGAGUUA